UAGGGAAUCUUCCACAAUGGACGCAAGUCUGAUGGAGCAACGCCGCGUGAGUGAAGAAGGUUUUCGGAUCGUAAAGCUCUGUUGUUGGUGAAGAAGGAUAGAGGCAGUAACUGGUCUUUAUUUGACGGUAAUCAACCAGAAAGUCACGGCUAACUACGUGCCAGCAGCCGCGGUAAUACGUAGGUGGCAAGCGUUGUCCGGAUUUAUUGGGCGUAAAGCGAGCGCAGGCGGAAUGAUAAGUCUGAUGUGAAAGCCCACGGCUCAACCGUGGAACUGCAUCGGAAACUGUCAUUCUUGAGUGCAGAAGAGGAGAGUGGAACUCCAUGUGUAGCGGUGGAAUGCGUAGAUAUAUGGAAGAACACCAGUGGCGAAGGCGGCUCUCUGGUCUGCAACUGACGCUGAGGCUCGAAGCAUGGGUAGCGAACAGGAUUAGAUACCCUGGU
RNAcentral lists this ribosomal RNA (443 nucleotides) under uncultured bacterium. Its description in RNAcentral is "partial 16S ribosomal RNA". It matches the Rfam family "Bacterial small subunit ribosomal RNA", at positions 355 to 791 of the family's 1533-position model. The record is from RNAcentral.